Molecule: long non-coding RNA, 236 nt
Organism: Haliotis rubra (blacklip abalone)
Lineage: Eukaryota; Metazoa; Mollusca; Gastropoda; Lepetellida; Haliotidae
Exons: 2
Source: RefSeq, a predicted model, not a curated record
UCGUCCGUAUGGUGCUUUCUCGUCAAGAGAGAAACCGAUCGGUCACCGGUUCAGGAUUUUGCCUGCCCGGAAACGCCUCCAUGUUCCCCCAUCCAGGCCUGUUGAAUGUGAGAUAGCCUAAACGGGACAUGAAUACUUCAGGCUUAUAUAGAAGCUGGACAUCUGGCCACUUGGAAAUAAACAUUGGGUGCAAACCGAAUACCAAUGUACAUAUCAAUAAACAUUCAGUGCUAUAA